This 336-nucleotide unclassified non-coding RNA is filed under the name soil metagenome. RNAcentral describes it as "partial contains 5.8S ribosomal RNA, internal transcribed spacer 2, and large subunit ribosomal RNA". The stretch from base 1 to 121 matches the Rfam family "5.8S ribosomal RNA", at positions 35 to 154 of the family's 154-position model. The record is from RNAcentral.
GAUGAAGAACGUAGCGAAAUGCGAUAAGUAAUGCGAAUUGCAGAAUUUCCGUGAGUCAUCGAAUCUUUGAACGCACAUUGCGCCCGCCAGUAUUCUGGCGGGCAUGCCUGUUCGAGCGUCAUUUCAACCAUCAAGCCCCCGGCUUGUGUUGGGGACCUGCGGCUGCCGCAGGCCCUGAAAACCAGUGGCGGGCUCGCUAGUCACUCCGAGCGUAGUAGUUACAUCUCGCUCAGGGCGUGCUGCGGGUUCCGGCCGUUAAAAGCCUUAUUUACCCAAGGUUGACCUCGGAUCAGGUAGGAAGACCCGCUGAACUUAAGCAUAUCAAUAAGCGGAGGA